Molecule: ribosomal RNA, 458 nt
Filed under: uncultured bacterium
Lineage: Bacteria
Description: partial 16S ribosomal RNA
Rfam family: Bacterial small subunit ribosomal RNA
Source: RNAcentral
CCUACGGGGGGCUGCAGUGAGGAAUAUUGGUCAAUGGGCGAGAGCCUGAACCAGCCAAGCCGCGUGAGGGAGUACUGCCCUAUGGGUUGUAAACCUCUUUUGUCGGGGAGCAAAAGCCGGACGUGUCCGGCUGUGAGAGUACCCGAAGAAAAAGCAUCGGCUAACUCCGUGCCAGCCGCCGCGGUAAUACGGAGGAUUAGAGCGGUAUCCGGAUUUAUUGGGGUUUAAGGGGGCGGAGGCGGAUUUUUAAGUCAGCGGUAAAAUCGUGGGGCUCAACCCCAUCCAGCCGUUGAAACUGGGGAUCUAGAGUGUGCGAGAGGUAGGCGGAAUGCGUGGUGUAGCGGUGAAAUGCAUAGAUAUCACGCAGAACCCCGAUUGCGAAGGCAGCAUACUGGUGCACAACUGACGCUCAGGCACGAAAGCGUGGGUAUCGAACAGGAUUAGAUACCCUGGUAGUC